RNAcentral lists this ribosomal RNA (492 nucleotides) under uncultured bacterium. RNAcentral describes it as "partial 16S ribosomal RNA". It matches the Rfam family "Bacterial small subunit ribosomal RNA", at positions 29 to 507 of the family's 1533-position model. The record is from RNAcentral.
AGUGAACGCUGGCGGUAGGCCUAACACAUGCAAGUCGAACGGCAGCACAGUAAGAGCUUGCUCUUACGGGUGGCGAGUGGCGGACGAGUGAGGAAUACAUCGGAAUCUACUUUUUCGUGGGGGAUAACGUAGGGAAACUUACGCUAAUACCGCAUACGACCUACGGGUGAAAGCAGGGGAUCUUCGGACCUUGCGCGAUUGAAUGAGCCGAUGUCGGAUUAGCUAGUUGGCGGGGUAAAGGCCCACCAAGGCGACGAUCCGUAGCUGGUCUGAGAGGAUGAUCAGCCACACUGGAACGGAGACACGGUCCAGACUCCUACGGGAGGCAGCAGUGGGGAAUAUGGGACAAUGGGCGCAAGCCUGAUCCAGCCAUACCGCGUGGGUGAAGAAGGCCUUCGGGUUGUAAAGCCCUUUUGUUGGGAAAGAAAAGCAGCAGGUUAAUACCCCGCUGUUCUGACGGUACCCAAAGAAUAAGCACCGGCUAACUUCGUG